UACGUAGGGUGCGAGCGUUAAUCGGAAUUACUGGGCGUAAAGCGUGCGCAGGCGGUUCGUUGUGUCGGUGGUGAAAGCCCCGGGCUUAACCUGGGAAUGGCCAUGGAAACUGGCGAACUGGAGUGUGGCAGAGGGGGGGUGGAAUUCCGCGUGUAGCAGUGAAAUGCGUAGAUAUCUGGAGGAACACCGGUGGCGAAGGCGGAUCGUCUGGGCCAUUACUGACGCUGAGGAGCGAAAGCGUGGGGAGCGAACAGG
RNAcentral lists this ribosomal RNA (255 nucleotides) under uncultured bacterium. Its description in RNAcentral is "partial 16S ribosomal RNA". It matches the Rfam family "Bacterial small subunit ribosomal RNA", at positions 524 to 776 of the family's 1533-position model. The record is from RNAcentral.